CAAUAGCGUAUAUUAAAGUUGUUGCGGUUAAAAAGCUCGUAGUUGGAUUUCUGCUGAGGACGAUCGGUCCGCCCUCUGGGUGAGUAUCUGGCUCGGCCUUGGCAUCUUCUUGGAGAACGUUACUGCACUUGACUGUGUGGUGCGGUAUCCAGGACUUUUACUUUGAGGAAAUUAGAGUGUUUCAAGCAGGCGCACGCCUUGAAUACAUUAGCAUGGAAUAAUAAGAUAGGACCUUGGUUCUAUUUUGUUGGUUUCUAGAGCUGAGGUAAUGAUUAAUAGGGAUAGUUGGGGGCAUUCGUAUUUAACUGUCAGAGGUGAAAUUCUUGGAUUUGUUAAAGACGGACUACUACGAAAGCAUUUGCCAAGGAUGUUUUCAUUGA
RNAcentral lists this ribosomal RNA (380 nucleotides) under uncultured eukaryote. RNAcentral's name for it is "partial 18S ribosomal RNA". It matches the Rfam family "Eukaryotic small subunit ribosomal RNA", at positions 592 to 976 of the family's 1831-position model. The record is from RNAcentral.